This 322-nucleotide ribosomal RNA is filed under the name uncultured eukaryote. RNAcentral describes it as "partial 18S ribosomal RNA". It matches the Rfam family "Eukaryotic small subunit ribosomal RNA", at positions 1470 to 1796 of the family's 1831-position model. The record is from RNAcentral.
CCCUUAGAUGUUCUGGGCCGCACGCGUGCUACACUGAGUGGAUCAGCGGGUCAGGUUGCGCGAAAGUGUUUCCUAAUCUUGAAAUCCGCUCGUGAUGGGGAUUGACGGUUGCAAUUUUCCGUCAUGAACGAGGAAUACCUUGUAAGCGCGGGUCAUCAUCCCGCGCUGAAUACGUCCCUGCCCUUUGUACACACCGCCCGUCGCUCCUACCGAUUGAGUGGUCCGGUGAGGCUUUGGGAUCUGAGCGGAAAGAGCGUUUCGCUGUUUCUGCUCGGAAAACUCAGUCGAACCUUAUCAUUUAGAGGAAAGAGAAGUCGUAACA